This 498-nucleotide ribosomal RNA is filed under the name uncultured organism. RNAcentral describes it as "bacterial SSU rRNA". It matches the Rfam family "Bacterial small subunit ribosomal RNA", at positions 29 to 507 of the family's 1533-position model. The record is from RNAcentral.
AACGAACGCUGGCGGCAUGCCUCAUACAUGCAAGUCGAACGAGAAAGUCCCUCGGGAUGAGUAUAGUGGCGCACGGGUGAGUAACACGUAGGUGACCUACCUUCGAGUUGGGAAUAACAUCGGGAAACCGGUGCUAAUACCGAAUGAUCUAAAUCAAUUGAAUAAUGAUUUAGCAAAGAGGGGUAAUUUAUUAUCUCUUGCUUGAAGAAGGGCCUGCGGAACAUUAGCUAGAUGGUGGGGUAAGAGCUUACCAUGGCAACGAUGUUUAGCUGGUCUGAGAGGAUGAUCAGCCACACUGGAACUGAGACACGGUCCAGACUCCUACGGGAGGCAGCAGUAGGGAAUAUUGCGCAAUGGGGGAAACCCUGACGCAGCAAUGCCGCGUGAGUGAGGAAGGUCUUCGGAUUGUAAAGCUCUGUCCUAGGGGAAGAAUGGCAUAGUGGUUAAUACCCAUUAUGAUUGACGGUACCCUAGAAGAAAGCACCGGCUAACUCCGUG